AAACGGUUAGCUGAGAGGUAAAGCACUACAUAAAACCAUGUAGAGAUCACGGGUUCGAAUCCUGUACUGUUUC
RNAcentral lists this transfer RNA (73 nucleotides) under Ruthenibacterium lactatiformans. Its description in RNAcentral is "tRNA-Phe". It matches the Rfam family "tRNA". Rfam says of the family: Transfer RNA (tRNA) molecules are approximately 80 nucleotides in length. Their secondary structure includes four short double-helical elements and three loops (D, anti-codon, and T loops). Lineage: Bacteria; Bacillati; Bacillota; Clostridia; Eubacteriales; Oscillospiraceae. RNAcentral also lists the same sequence under 2 other names. The record is from RNAcentral.